UUCUAUGAGAUCAUCAUAUGUGUGUAGCAUUGUUGUCCUGUGAGAACCACGUAUCUCUAAAAAAGUUUUAAAGAUUC
Molecule: long non-coding RNA, 77 nt
Organism: Etheostoma cragini (Arkansas darter)
Lineage: Eukaryota; Metazoa; Chordata; Actinopteri; Perciformes; Percidae
Exons: 3
Source: RefSeq, a predicted model, not a curated record